AUUGAACGCUGGCGGCAUGCUUUACACAUGCAAGUCGAACGGCAGCGCGGGCUUCGGCCUGGCGGCGAGUGGCGAACGGGUGAGUAAUGCAUCGGAACGUGCCCAGUAGUGGGGGAUAGCCCGGCGAAAGCCGGAUUAAUACCGCAUACGACCUGAGGGUGAAAGCGGGGGACCGAAAGGCCUCGCGCUAUUGGAGCGGCCGAUGUCGGAUUAGCUAGUUGGUGGGGUAAAGGCUUACCAAGGCGACGAUCCGUAGCUGGUCUGAGAGGACGACCAGCCACACUGGGACUGAGACACGGCCCAGACUCCUUCGGGAGGCAGGAGUGGGGAAUUUUUGACAAUGGGGGCAACCCUGAUCCAGCCAUGCCGCGUGCGGGAAGAAGGCCUUCGGGUUGUAAACCGCUUUUGUUCGGGAAGAAAUCCUCUGGGCUAAUACCCCGGGGGGAUGACGGUACCGGAAGAAUAAGCACCGGCUAACUACGUG
RNAcentral lists this ribosomal RNA (484 nucleotides) under uncultured bacterium. RNAcentral's name for it is "partial 16S ribosomal RNA". It matches the Rfam family "Bacterial small subunit ribosomal RNA", at positions 28 to 507 of the family's 1533-position model. The record is from RNAcentral.